RNAcentral lists this ribosomal RNA (494 nucleotides) under uncultured bacterium. Its description in RNAcentral is "bacterial SSU rRNA". It matches the Rfam family "Bacterial small subunit ribosomal RNA", at positions 903 to 1397 of the family's 1533-position model. The record is from RNAcentral.
AAAGGAAUUGACGGGGGCCCGCACAAGCAGCGGAGCAUGUGGUUUAAUUCGAAGCAACGCGAAGAACCUUACCAGGUCUUGACAUCCAGUUAAAGCUAAGGAAAGUUAGUGUCUCUUCGGAGGAACUGAGACAGGUGGUGCAUGGUUGUCGUCAGCUCGUGUCGUGAGAUGUUGGGUUAAGUCCCGCAACGAGCGCAACCCUUGCGAUUGGUUGCUAACAGGUAAAGCUGAGGACUCCAAUAGGACUGCCGGGGACAACUCGGAGGAAGGUGGGGACGACGUCAAAUCAUCAUGCCCCUUAUGACCUGGGCUACACACGUGCUACAAUGGCCACUACAAAGAGGUGCGAAAUCGUGAGAUGGAGCAGAUCUGUAAAAAGUGGUCCCAGUUCAGAUUGUGGGCUGCAACCCGCCCACAUGAAGUCGGAGUUGCUAGUAAUCGCGGAUCAGCAUGCCGCGGUGAAUACGUUCCCGGGCCUUGUACACACCGCCCGU